RNAcentral lists this ribosomal RNA (409 nucleotides) under Fusobacteriota bacterium. Its description in RNAcentral is "Fusobacteria bacterium partial 16S ribosomal RNA". It matches the Rfam family "Bacterial small subunit ribosomal RNA", at positions 355 to 776 of the family's 1533-position model. Lineage: Bacteria; Fusobacteriati; Fusobacteriota. The record is from RNAcentral.
UGGGGAAUAUUGCACAAUGGAGGGAACUCUGAUGCAGCAACGCCGCGUGCGGGAUGACGGCCUUCGGGUUGUAAACCGCUUUCAGCCAUGACGAAGCUUUUGUGACGGUAGUGGUAGAAGAAGCACCGGCUAACUACGUGCCAGCAGCCGCGGUGAUACGUAGGGUGCGAGCGUUGUCCGGAAUUAUUGGGCGUAAAGAGCUUGUAGGCGGUUUGUCGCGUCGAUAGUGUAAACACGCAGCUUAACUGUGUGCCUGCUGUCGAUACGGGCUGACUAGAGGAGGGUAGGGGAGAAGGGAAUUCCCGGUGGAGCGGUGGAAUGCGCAGAUAUCGGGAGGCACACCAGUGGCGAAGGCGGUUCUCUGGACCUUUCCUGACGCUGAGAAGCGAAAGCGUGGGUAGCAAACAGG